This 506-nucleotide ribosomal RNA is filed under the name uncultured bacterium. RNAcentral's name for it is "partial 16S ribosomal RNA". It matches the Rfam family "Bacterial small subunit ribosomal RNA", at positions 30 to 523 of the family's 1533-position model. The record is from RNAcentral.
AUUGAACGCUGGCGGCAGGCCUAACACAUGCAAGUCGAACGGUAACAGGAAGAAGCUUGCUUCUUUGCUGACGAGUGGCGGACGGGUGAGUAAUGUCUGGGAAACUGCCUGAUGGAGGGGGAUAACUACUGGAAACGGUAGCUAAUACCGCAUAAAGUCGCAAGACAAAAGAGGGGGACCUUCGGGCCUCUUGCCAUCGGAUGUGCCCAGAUGGGAUUAGCUAGUUGGUGGGGUAACGGCUCACCAAGGCGACGAUCCCUAGCUGGUCUGAGAGGAUGACCAGCCACACUGGAACUGAGACACGGUCCAGACUCCUACGGGAGGCAGCAGUGGGGAAUAUUGCACAAUGGGCGCAAGCCUGAUGCAGCCAUGCCGCGUGUAUGAAGAAGGCCUUCGGGUUGUAAAGUACUUUCAGCGGGGAGGAAGGGAGUAAAGUUAAUACCUUUGCUCAUUGACGUUACCCGCAGAAGAAGCACCGGCUAACUCCGUGCCAGCAGCCGCCGCAG